RNAcentral lists this ribosomal RNA (585 nucleotides) under uncultured bacterium. RNAcentral's name for it is "bacterial SSU rRNA". It matches the Rfam family "Bacterial small subunit ribosomal RNA", at positions 338 to 916 of the family's 1533-position model. The record is from RNAcentral.
CCUACGGGAGGCAGCAGUGGGGAAUUUUGGACAAUGGGCGCAAGCCUGAUCCAGCAAUGCCGCGUGAGUGAAGAAGGCCUUCGGGUUGUAAAGCUCUUUUGUCAGGGAAGAAACGGCUGCGGCUAAUAUCCGCGGCUAAUGACGGUACCUGAAGAAUAAGCACCGGCUAACUACGUGCCAGCAGCCGCGGUAAUACGUAGGGUGCAAGCGUUAAUCGGAAUUACUGGGCGUAAAGCGUGCGCAGGCGGUUUUGUAAGUCUGACGUGAAAGCCCCGGGCUCAACCUGGGAAUUGCGUUGGAGACUGCAAGGCUUGAAUCUGGCAGAGGGGGGUAGAAUUCCACGUGUAGCAGUGAAAUGCGUAGAGAUGUGGAGGAACACCGAUGGCGAAGGCAGCCCCCUGGGUCAAGAUUGACGCUCAUGCACGAAAGCGUGGGGAGCAAACAGGAUUAGAUACCCUGGUAGUCCACGCCCUAAACGAUGUCUACUAGUUGUCGGGUUUUAAUUAACUUGGUAACGCAGCUAACGCGUGAAGUAGACCGCCUGGGGAGUACGGUCGCAAGAUUAAAACUCAAAGGAAUUGACGG